CAUUAAGUGCAGGAAAAGAAACCAAAUGGGAUUCCCCCAGUAACGGCGAGUGAAGUGGGAUCAGCUCAGCACCGAAGCCGGCGGUCGGAAGGCCGUCGUGCAAUGUGGUGUUCGGGAGGGCUCUGUCCGUGUCCGGUUUUGGUCCAAGUCUCCUGGAAAGGAGUUCCAUGGAGGGUGACAGGCCCGUGCGACCAAUUACCGCGCUCUCGGACGAGUCCUCCUUCGAGUCGGGUUGUUCGCUAAUGCAGCCCUAAGCAGGUGGUAAGCUCCAUCUAAAGCUAAAUAUAACCACGAGUCCGAUAGUCAACAAGUACAGUGAUGGAAAGUUGAAAAGUACUCUGAAGAGAGAGUCAAAUAGCCCGUGAAGCUGCCAGUAUGGGAUUAAGCGCACGUGUGACGCGUGUCGUCGGACAAAUAGGCGACUGUUGUGCGUACGAUUGGCGCGUGUCGCGAGGCGCAAGCUUUCGCGUCGCGUCGAUACACUGGUGCGGACCACAGAACGCUUCCCUUUGUUCGGCAUUGACAGGUCGGGGCUUCGUUGUUCGCGGUCUUAUUGCCGGCGGUGAUUCUGCAGAGCCGUGCUGGGCGGCUGCCAGUUUCGGCUGGCGGUCGUGCUCCGCUGACUGUGGUCCCUCGUGGGCGCAGCGGCUGGUCCGGUCUGCGGUGCAAUGCUGUCGUGCGAACGACUGAACGACGGCCAACGCAUUCGAACCUCAUACGGGGUUCGGCUCGGCCUUUGCGUCGUCACGUGCGGCCCGUCUUGAAACACGGACCAAGGAGUCUAACAUGUGAGCGAGCGAUUGAGAUUGUCGAAUCUCAAACGCGCAAUGAAAGUGAAGUGUCGUCUGACGGCACGAGCGGUGAUCUGUCGCCACUUGUUGGCGACAGCGCAACCGCGGGCCGCGCCAUGAGCUGGCUUGCUUUUCGGAGCACUGCUCAGGCGCGGACCUAGAGCCCACACGUUGGGACCCGAAAGAUGGUGAACUAUGCCUGGUCAGGAUGAAGCCAGAGGAAACUCUGGUGGAGGUCCGCCGCGAUUCUGACGUGCAAAUCGAUCGUCUGAACUGGGUAUAGGGGCGAAAGACCAAUCGAACCAUCUAGUAGCUGGUUCCGCCCGAAGUUUCCCUCAGGAUAGCUGGCGCUUGUUUGAUACGGAGUUUCAUCCGGUAAAGCGAAUGAUCAGAGGAGCUGGGCUCCUUGCGAGCUCAACCUAUUCUCAAACUUUCAAUGGGUGAGACGUCUCGCUGGCUUCACUGCAGCGACGACUCUGAAUCCGAGUGCCCAGUGGGCCACUUUUGGUAAGCAGAACUGGCGAUGCGGGAUGAACCGCAUGUCGAGUUAAGGUGCCUAAGCGGACGCAAAUCAGAUACCAUGAAAGGUGUUGAUUGCUCACGACAGCAGGACGGUGGCCAUGGAAGUCGGCAUCCGCUAAGGAGUGUGUAACAACUCACCUGCCGAAGCAAUCAGCCCUGAAAAUGGAUGGCGCUAAAGCGUUCCACCGAUACUCGACCGUCGUCGGCAUGCGAUGGACUCUAGCUCCAUCUGACGCCACGACGAGUAGGGCGGCGCGGCGGUGAGCGUUGAAGGCGUAACCGUGAGGUUAGCUGGAGCCGCCGUCGGUGCAGAUCUUGGUGGUAGUAGCAAAUACACAAGCAAGAUCCUUGUGGACCGAUGUGGAGAAGGGUUCCGCGCGAACAGUAUUUGGACGUGGGUGAGUCGGCCCUAAGCCAACGGGUAAUUCCCGCAUCCCGAUGUGUUCUCUCUCAACAAUUGCAUACAACGGGUUGAU
This 1789-nucleotide ribosomal RNA is filed under the name Poecilasma inaequilaterale. RNAcentral's name for it is "eukaryotic LSU rRNA". It matches the Rfam family "Eukaryotic large subunit ribosomal RNA", at positions 44 to 1593 of the family's 3401-position model. The record is from RNAcentral. Lineage: Eukaryota; Metazoa; Arthropoda; Thecostraca; Poecilasmatidae.